CUUUCAACAACGGAUCUCUUGGUUUUGGCAUCGAUGAAGAACGCAGCGAAAUGCGAUAAGUAAUGUGAAUUGCAGAAUUCAGUGAAUCAUCGAAUCUUUGAACGCACAUUGCGCCCUCUGGUAUUCCGGGGGGCAUGCCUGUUCGAGCGUCGCAAA
Molecule: ribosomal RNA, 156 nt
Filed under: Phaeographis elliptica
Lineage: Eukaryota; Fungi; Ascomycota; Lecanoromycetes; Ostropales; Graphidaceae
Description: 5.8S ribosomal RNA
Rfam family: 5.8S ribosomal RNA
About the family: 5.8S ribosomal RNA (5.8S rRNA) is a component of the large subunit of the eukaryotic ribosome. It is transcribed by RNA polymerase I as part of the 45S precursor that also contains 18S and 28S rRNA.
Source: RNAcentral